RNAcentral lists this ribosomal RNA (857 nucleotides) under uncultured bacterium. Its description in RNAcentral is "bacterial SSU rRNA". It matches the Rfam family "Bacterial small subunit ribosomal RNA", at positions 71 to 925 of the family's 1533-position model. RNAcentral also lists the same sequence under 1 other name. The record is from RNAcentral.
AGAAUCUGCUGAAGGAGGAUUCGUCCAACGGAAGUAGAGGAAAGUGGCGGACGGGUGAGUAACGCGUGAGGAACCUGCCUUGAAGAGGGGGACAACAGUUGGAAACGACUGCUAAUACCGCAUGAUGCAUAAGGGUCGCAUGAUUCUUAUGCCAAAGAUUUAUCGCUUCAAGAUGGCCUCGCGUCUGAUUAGCCAGUUGGCGGGGUAACGGCCCACCAAGGCGACGAUCAGUAGCCGGACUGAGAGGUUGAACGGCCACAUUGGGACUGAGAUACGGCCCAGACUCCUACGGGAGGCAGCAGUGGGGAAUAUUGGGCAAUGGGCGCAAGCCUGACCCAGCAACGCCGCGUGAAGGAAGAAGGCUUUCGGGUUGUAAACUUCUUUUAAGAGGGAAGAGCAGAAGACGGUACCUCUAGAAUAAGCCACGGCUAACUACGUGCCAGCAGCCGCGGUAAUACGUAGGUGGCAAGCGUUGUCCGGAUUUACUGGGUGUAAAGGGCGUGCAGCCGGGUCUGCAAGUCAGAUGUGAAAUCCAUGGGCUCAACCCAUGAACUGCAUUUGAAACUGUAGAUCUUGAGUGUCGGAGGGGCAAUCGGAAUUCCUAGUGUAGCGGUGAAAUGCGUAGAUAUUAGGAGGAACACCAGUGGCGAAGGCGGAUUGCUGGACGAUAACUGACGGUGAGGCGCGAAAGUGUGGGGAGCAAACAGGAUUAGAUACCCUGGUAGUCCACACUGUAAACGAUGAAUACUAGGUGUGCGGGGACUGACCCCCUGCGUGCCGCAGUAAACACAAUAAGUAUUCCACCUGGGGAGUACGAUCGCAAGGUUGCAACUCAAAGGAAUUGACGGAAGGUGGAA